RNAcentral lists this ribosomal RNA (205 nucleotides) under uncultured bacterium. RNAcentral describes it as "partial 16S ribosomal RNA". It matches the Rfam family "Bacterial small subunit ribosomal RNA", at positions 524 to 727 of the family's 1533-position model. The record is from RNAcentral.
UACGAGAGGCCCAAACGUUAUUCGGAAUUACUGGGCUUAAAGAGUUCGUAGGCGGCGCAGAAAGUAGGGUGUGAAAGCCCUCGGCUCAACCGAGGAAUUGCGCUCUAAACUACUGUGCUCGAGGAAUCUAGAGGUGAGCGGAACUGAUGGUGGAGCGGUGAAAUGCGUUGAUAUCAUCAGGAACACCGGAGGCGAAAGGCGGCUC